CCUUUCAACUCUGCCUGGCUGUAACCAGGAUCUCUUUCCACAACUAGUUUUACCAUGUCUACUUCAGCCUCAUUAAGGAGUUAACACUGACCAGUUGCUUCCUAGAAGCAAGUUUUAUGGCAAAGCAUCCCAAGGUGGGUCACCGAAUUUCAAGCUGGCAUUAGAGAAUCACAGGGCUGGUGCACGGAGAGCUGGCUCUCCAGCAAGGACGUCUGGCCUGGCCGGGAAUGAUUCAUUGAGCAAAAGGACAUGCCAGAGAAAAUGAGGAGGAUGUUCCAACCCAGGAGUGAGCCGACGGGUAUGCAGAGGCUGGAGCUGUCUCCUGCACAUGGGAUCAUGUCCCUGUGUUCCAGCUCUACAUGGGGUGCCCACCAGCUGCCCCACAGGGCCCUUAUCACAAACAUCACAAGCCUAUUUCACAAGCUCUUUUCUCCUUGAAAUGUUGAGAUCAAUAUAUCUCCACUGUUACUUA
Molecule: long non-coding RNA, 472 nt
Organism: Homo sapiens (human)
Lineage: Eukaryota; Metazoa; Chordata; Mammalia; Primates; Hominidae
Gene: SMAD3-AS1
Product: SMAD3 antisense RNA 1
Source: Ensembl